RNAcentral lists this transfer RNA (37 nucleotides) under Lynx lynx (Eurasian lynx). Its description in RNAcentral is "partial tRNA-Gln". Lineage: Eukaryota; Metazoa; Chordata; Mammalia; Carnivora; Felidae. The record is from RNAcentral.
UAGAAUGUGGUGUAAUGAUGGUAGCACGAAGAUUUUU